This 497-nucleotide ribosomal RNA is filed under the name uncultured bacterium. RNAcentral describes it as "partial 16S ribosomal RNA". It matches the Rfam family "Bacterial small subunit ribosomal RNA", at positions 28 to 507 of the family's 1533-position model. The record is from RNAcentral.
GACGAACGCUGGCGGCGUGCCUAAUACAUGCAAGUAGAACGCUGAAGCGAGGAGCUUGCUCUUCUUGGAUGAGUUGCGCACGGGUGAGUAACGCGUAGGUAACCUGCCUUGUAGCGGGGGAUAACUAUUGGAAACGAUAGCUAAUACCGCAUAACAAUGGAUGACCCAUGUCAUUUAUUUGAAAGGGGCAAAUGCUCCACUACAAGAUGGACCUGCGUUGUAUUAGCUAGUAGGUGAGGUAACGGCUCACCUAGGCGACGAUACAUAGCCGACCUGAGAGGGUGGUCGGCCACACUGGGACUGGGACACGGCCCAGGCUCCCACGGGAGGCAGCAGGAGGGAAUCUUCGGCAAUGGGGGCAACCCUGACCGAGCAACGCCGCGGGAGGGAAGAAGGUUUUCGGAUCGUAAAGCUCUGUUGUAAGUCAAGAACGAGUGGGAGAGUGGAAAGUUCACACUGUGACGGUAGCUUACCAGAAAGGGACGGCUAACUACGUG